This 167-nucleotide long non-coding RNA is filed under the name Mustela putorius furo (domestic ferret). RNAcentral describes it as "lncRNA (ENSMPUG00000029534.1)". The record is from RNAcentral. Lineage: Eukaryota; Metazoa; Chordata; Mammalia; Carnivora; Mustelidae.
GAAUUACUCAUGGUUGUUUCCAAGGAUUGCCUCUCUGGAUUCUUGAGAACUUGAACAAGAAAGGCCCGUAAAAGAAAAUGAUUCAGAAAGUCCUGAGCGAGUGAAACCGGAAAUGGGCUGUGCUUCUAUCUGGCAACCUCAUGCCCCGGAGGUGAGGAGCAGACAGC